Molecule: small nuclear RNA, 21 nt
Filed under: Arabidopsis thaliana (thale cress)
Lineage: Eukaryota; Viridiplantae; Streptophyta; Magnoliopsida; Brassicales; Brassicaceae
Description: snRNA_16440
Source: RNAcentral
UUUUUAUACUCCCUCUGUUCC